RNAcentral lists this transfer RNA (72 nucleotides) under Blattella germanica (German cockroach). RNAcentral describes it as "tRNA-Pro (TGG) (tRNA-Pro-TGG-21-1)". It matches the Rfam family "tRNA". Rfam says of the family: Transfer RNA (tRNA) molecules are approximately 80 nucleotides in length. Their secondary structure includes four short double-helical elements and three loops (D, anti-codon, and T loops). The record is from RNAcentral. Lineage: Eukaryota; Metazoa; Arthropoda; Insecta; Blattodea; Blattellidae.
GGCUCUGUGGUCUAGGAGUAUGAUUCCUGCUUUGGGUGCAGGAGGUCCCUGGUUCAAAUCCCGGCUGAGCCC